RNAcentral lists this ribosomal RNA (429 nucleotides) under Bacteroidota bacterium. Its description in RNAcentral is "Bacteroidetes bacterium partial 16S ribosomal RNA". It matches the Rfam family "Bacterial small subunit ribosomal RNA", at positions 355 to 776 of the family's 1533-position model. The record is from RNAcentral. Lineage: Bacteria; Pseudomonadati; Bacteroidota.
UAGGGAAUCUUCCGCAAUGGACGCAAGUCUGACGGAGCAACGCCGCGUGAGUGAAGAAGGAUUUCGGUUCGUAAAACUCUGUUGUUAGAGAAGAACAGCGCAUAGAGUAACUGUUAUGCGUGUGACGGUAUCUAACCAGAAAGCCACGGCUAACUACGUGCCAGCAGCCGCGGUAAUACGUAGGUGGCAAGCGUUGUCCGGAUUUAUUGGGCGUAAAGCGAGCGCAGGCGGUCAAUUAAGUCUGAUGUGAAAGCCCACGGCUCAACCGUGGAGGGUCAUUGGAAACUGGAAAACUUGAGUGCAGAAGAGGAAAGUGGAAUUCCAUGUGUAGCGGUGAAAUGCGCAGAGAUAUGGGGGAACACCGGUGGCGAAGGCGACUUUCUGGUCUGUAACUGACGCUGAUGUGCGAAAGCGUGGGGAUCAAACAGG